GGAGUCUGGGCCGUGUCUCAGUCCCAGUGUGGGGGGCCUUCCUCUCAGAACCCCUAUCCAUCGUAGGCUCGGUGGGCCGUUACCCCGCCGACUGCCUAAUGGAACGCAUCCCCAUCCCUAUCCGACAAAAGCCUUUGCCCUGGUAAACAUGCGGAAACCAGGGAACAUCGGGUAUUAAUCCCUCUUUCGAGGGGCUGUCCCCGAGAUAGGGCCAGGUUGGAUACGCGUUACUCACCCAUCCGCCGGUCGUCAUCUGGCAGAGCAAGCUCAGCCAAUGUUACCCCUCGACUUGCAUGUGUUAAGCCUGUAGCUAGCGUUCAUC
This 322-nucleotide ribosomal RNA is filed under the name uncultured Bacteroides sp. RNAcentral's name for it is "partial 16S ribosomal RNA". Lineage: Bacteria; Pseudomonadati; Bacteroidota; Bacteroidia; Bacteroidales; Bacteroidaceae. The record is from RNAcentral.